GGAUUAAUUUGGUCAGGUGAAUAGUUCUGCAAAUGCACUUAGGGAAAUUGCUCUUACAUUAUCUGGAACAUUCUUUAGAAACAAUCGAAUUUUUUUCCAGCACUGGCUGAUCCCUAGGGAGCAAACAUCAAGCGGACACAUGGUUUAGCAGCCAUAGGAGCCCUUCCUGCUAUGAGAAGGUUGAACACUUUCCCUUUUUCUCCUUAAAUACCAUCUCUUUUACGCAUAACGGUAAGAUUGAGGUCCCUGUGACUCUAUAGAGAUUGUUUGUUUAUUAAAGCUGUCUUUCCCCAUUGUACCAUUUGGGAAAAAGAAUUUGUGUGCAACAGUGAGAGGAUCUUACUGGAAAAAUCUACAGAGAAGGUUCCAAACAGAUGUCUUAUGAGGUGGUAAUGACACGCCCACAAGCUACCCUGUAGAAUCCAUUGAUACCCAUAUCCUAACACAAGCUGAUCUUCUGAACCUGUGUCCAAGGCAGAGUUUACCUAGAAGUUUCCUCAAGACUUUCCCAAAGUCAGAACAUUUCAUAUUUCAGACACUGUAAAAAUCCCACACUGUCUCUGGAGACAAAGCAUAAUUUUCUAGAUAUUUUGCUAUAAUUUCUCUCUGGUACCCUGCAGAAGAAAGCACUGGAUAGGUUUGAUAAUUCCUUGUAUGGGACAUCCAGAUGCAAAUGUGGUCCUAGCCAUUAUUUUUCCUUAGAAAUUGAACCAUUUUACCAUUUACCAUUUGUACAGCAGUAUAUCAGAACUUGCCCAGAUGAUAAUUCAUAUACUUGUUUUUAUUAGGAGACCAUGAUAUUUGUGGUUAAUUCUGUGACAUGGGAAUUGUCAUAAUUACUCACAGUGCUAGAUAGCCCCUCCUCAUAGAGUACUAGUAGUGGACAGAAUUUAAUGUGUUUAGCAAUGUUUUUGUGGGUGUUGGCCAAGUACAGAAAAACUGACCUUAGAAGUUUACAACAGAGCAGCAUAGGGUGUUAUGGCCAAAUCCAUUAGCAUAAUACCUCCUGAUUGUGAGAAAUGCAGGCAACUUUAUGAAAAUAUGGUUAUCUUGAUGUCAGUAGGCCAUAAUGGUGAUCAGCCCUAGGGAACUUUUCUACCAAAUACAACUCAAACUCAAACAAAAACAGCAUAUAUCAUCAAUGUGAUAUUAGAAGACUACAAUUCAAGUAAGACAAAGAUCAUAAAAAUCAAAUCUUAGGAUUAUGGUUUUUAAAAAAUGAAUUUUCCAUCUCUGGGUAAUAUGUCCUUAUUAUUACAAGGAAACACUGAAGGGCUAUUUUUAUUUUAAAGGCUUAGUGCCAUGGACAUGUACAGAGGCUUGUGUGGAGUGGUUGCUUGUGAAGCAGGGGCUACACACAGCAAACUGUCCUGUAGAGUCCUGUUCACCAUUUUUGUCUCACCUUUGUUUUGAUAUGACCAAAUUGCAGUAUUUCUCUCUAUAUUUUUACGAAGAAAAACUCAUAAUGCAGUAUGGUUUACUUGGUGAUUGCAAACAAAAUUAAUGCUUUAAGUGUUACGCUCUCUCUUUCCCAAAGACAAUAAACCUCCCUCAGAAUUAGUUUCAUUGUCAUUUAUACCGUCAAAUAGUCAAUAGAUGAGUGCAGUAAACUUUCUGAUUAAAAACAGCUCUAAAGUGGUAUUUAUUUCUUCAUGUGACUCUGUUGAUCAAAGUGAGAGAGAGGGGUUCACAAUCUACUAGAAAAUUAAUACUUUGUCACGUGUGGUUCCACAGUACAUCAAACAACAUUAGCCCUGUGUUAUAUGUAAUUGCUAAUGUGUAUGCUUUCCCUUUAGAUCAGUAGCUCCCAAUCUUUCUGAAGCUGUGAUCCUAUGACACAGUUCCUUAC
This 1849-nucleotide long non-coding RNA is filed under the name Rattus norvegicus (Norway rat). RNAcentral's name for it is "long non-coding RNA NONRATT013453". The record is from RNAcentral. Lineage: Eukaryota; Metazoa; Chordata; Mammalia; Rodentia; Muridae.